Non-coding RNA from Canis lupus familiaris (dog), 105 nucleotides. The record is from Rfam. NCBI's taxonomy places the organism in Eukaryota, Metazoa, Chordata, Mammalia, Carnivora, Canidae.
AGGAGCAACAGCCCCAGUGGCGGGGCCAGCUCUGGAAACCUGGAUUCAGCUCCGGCAGGAACUCCGGAGCUCUCCGUCUGCAGGGCCUGGAGGCUCCGGGGUGGG